RNAcentral lists this ribosomal RNA (402 nucleotides) under uncultured bacterium. RNAcentral's name for it is "bacterial SSU rRNA". It matches the Rfam family "Bacterial small subunit ribosomal RNA", at positions 109 to 507 of the family's 1533-position model. The record is from RNAcentral.
AGUAACGCGUAGGAAUCUACCUAAUAGUGGGGGAUAACGUUCCGAAAGGAACGCUAAUACCGCAUACGUUCCGAGGAAGAAAGCAGGGGACCGCAAGGCCUUGCGCUAUUAGAUGAGCCUGCGUCCGAUUAGCUAGUUGGUAGGGCAAAGGCCUACCAAGGCGACGAUCGGUAACUGGUCUGAGAGGAUGAUCAGUCACACUGGAACUGAGACACGGUCCAGACUCCUACGGGAGGCAGCAGUGGGGAAUAUUGGACAAUGGGGGCAACCCUGAUCCAGCCAUGCCGCGUGUGUGAAGAAGGCCUUCGGGUUGUAAAGCACUUUAAGCGGGGAGGAAGGCUCGAUAGCUAAUAUCUAUCGGGAUUGACGUUACCCGCAGAAUAAGCACCGGCAAACUUCGUG